RNAcentral lists this non-coding RNA (267 nucleotides) under Heterocephalus glaber (naked mole-rat). RNAcentral describes it as "Eukaryotic large subunit ribosomal RNA". It matches the Rfam family "Eukaryotic large subunit ribosomal RNA", at positions 1772 to 2052 of the family's 3401-position model. The record is from Rfam by way of RNAcentral. Lineage: Eukaryota; Metazoa; Chordata; Mammalia; Rodentia; Bathyergidae.
UUCCGGCGGCGUCCGGUGAGCUCUCGCUGGCCCUUGAAAAUCCGGGGGAGAGGGUGUAAAUCUCGCGCCGGGCCGUACCCAUAUCCGCAGCAGGUCUCCAAGGUGAACAGCCUCUGGCAUGUUGGAACAAUGUAGGUAAGGGAAGUCGGCAAGCCGGAUCCGUAACUUCGGGAUAAGGAUUGGCUCUAAGGGCUGGGUCGGUCGGGCUGGGGCGCGAAGCGGGGCUGGGCGCGCGCCGCGGCUGGACGAGGCGCCGCCGCCCCCCCC